UAGCACGUAAUCAUAUAUUGGGCU
RNAcentral lists this non-coding RNA (24 nucleotides) under Arabidopsis thaliana (thale cress). Lineage: Eukaryota; Viridiplantae; Streptophyta; Magnoliopsida; Brassicales; Brassicaceae. The record is from RNAcentral.